This 27-nucleotide unclassified non-coding RNA is filed under the name Mus musculus (house mouse). Its description in RNAcentral is "oocyte_clustered_small_RNA9181". Lineage: Eukaryota; Metazoa; Chordata; Mammalia; Rodentia; Muridae. The record is from RNAcentral.
UGCUGCACCUCAUGUCCAGGUCACCAC